This 266-nucleotide signal recognition particle RNA is filed under the name Paenibacillus phyllosphaerae. Its description in RNAcentral is "Bacterial large signal recognition particle RNA". It matches the Rfam family "Bacterial large signal recognition particle RNA". From Rfam's summary of the family: The signal recognition particle (SRP) is a universally conserved ribonucleoprotein involved in the co-translational targeting of proteins to membranes. Archaeal SRP consists of a 7S RNA and homologues of the eukaryotic SRP19 and SRP54 proteins. The record is from Rfam by way of RNAcentral. Lineage: Bacteria; Bacillati; Bacillota; Bacilli; Caryophanales; Paenibacillaceae.
CCGUGCUAGAUGGGGAGGUAGCGGUGCCCUGUAACUCGCAAUCCGCUGUAGCGAGGUUGAAUUCCUAUCAGAGGUUAUGCUGAUGUGGGGUUUGGACCUUAUGAAUAGUGUUGACGGAUGGGUCCUCCGCAAUGGACGCCUGUGAACGGGUCAGGUCCGGAAGGAAGCAGCCAUAAGCAGGUAAGUUCAUGUGCCGGAGGAGUGCCUGUCCCGAGCUAGGAGUAAGGAUACCACCUGGAUCGCAUUUAUCGAAGAUAGGUGCACGG